This 430-nucleotide ribosomal RNA is filed under the name uncultured bacterium. RNAcentral's name for it is "partial 16S ribosomal RNA". It matches the Rfam family "Bacterial small subunit ribosomal RNA", at positions 329 to 775 of the family's 1533-position model. The record is from RNAcentral.
GGCCAGACUCCUACGGGAGGCAGCAGUGGGGGAUAUUGCACAAUGGGGGGAACCCUGAUGCAGCGACGCCGCGUGGGUGAAGGAGCGUUUCGGCGCGUAAAGCCCUAUCGGCAGGGAAGAAGGAGGACGGUACCUGACUAAGAAGCCCCGGCUAACUACGUGCCAGCAGCCGCGGGAAUACGUAGGGGGCAAGCGUUAUCCGGAUUUACUGGGUGUAAAGGGAGCGUAGGCGGUUAGAUAAGUCUGAUGUGAAAGCCCACAGCUUAACUGUGGGAUUGCAUUGGAAACUAUAGAACUAGAGUGUCGGAGAGGUAAGUGGAAUUCCUAGUGUAGCGGUGAAAUGCGUAGAUAUUAGGAGGAACACCAGUGGCGAAGGCGGCCUGCUGGACGAUGACUGACGUUGAGGCUCGAAAGCGUGGGGAGCAAACAG